ACUAUGUGUAAGUGUGUGGACAUGUGUAUGCAGUUGCCCAUGGAUAUCAGAGAAGAAGCCAGAUGACCCUGGACUAGGAACCAAACUCGGAAACUCAGUGCCAUCCUUGCCCACCUGCUGCCCACUUCCCUGCCAUGAUGAUCAUGGACUAAUGCUCUGAAAAGAAUGCUUCCUUUCAUAAGUUGCUGUGGUCACUGGGUUUUGUCACAGCAAUAGAACAGUACCUAAGGCAGUGUGUCUUGGUCAGACACAGAAAAUGAAGGAAUGGCUUCCUGCUUCUAAGAGGCUUUUUGGAGACCCUGCAAAAGGAAACAGAACCACAUUGUGAUGACUGUAAGUAAUCUGCUAGAUGCCUUGGACACCAGGGAAGUGAGGCCGGAAACUCACACACCAGCACAGAGACACAUAACUCUAAAAGGGCAGACACACGUGAGGACUGGCCCAAACGACCUCUGCAAAACUGGACAUUUCUAUUCGCUUCCACCUUUAGUUUAAGUCACACUGGAGAACAAGGCCAUGAACUUAGGACUGUGCCAGAGCUCCCCUGUCAACUUAGGAGUGUGCCAGAGCUCCCCUGUCAGUUUUGGACCAAGCCCUCACAAGCCCACGGUGCAAGGUAGAAGCACUUGUUGCACAACCUGAAGACCCAUGUUCGAUCCCCAGAACCCACACGUAACGCUGGCUACAGCGGUGUGUGUAUUUGUAAUCUCAGCACUCCCACAGUGAGACGGGAGGAGGAGACAAGUCCAUCCCUCAGACACUGCGGGCCAGCCAGAGUACGCAGAGACCCAGCCUCAACAAGGGGUGAGGAGAGUCCAUUCUUAAAAGCAGCCCUCUGACCUCACAUGUGUGCUGUACUCAAGCAUGUGUAUAACGCACGAAUGCACACAAACACAAAUAAAUACUGGUAAGGUUGAGUCAAGAGCAUCAGGUGCUCAAGGCCAGCCUCGGCUACAUGGUGAGUUCACCAGCCUACUGAAUUUUCUGAGACUCUGCAGAACUUAAGUAAAUAAAAUGAAAUGAAAAUAAUUUUUAAGGCCCUGAGGACCUGGGUUCAGGUCACAGCUCCUGAAAGCUACGGUGGACAGAGAGGACUCCUGAGAGUUGUCCUCAGAGUGCCACCCAUGCGCCCUCCC
Onychomys torridus (southern grasshopper mouse) is the source of this 1136-nucleotide long non-coding RNA. RefSeq lists it as uncharacterized. The record is from RefSeq and is a predicted model, not a curated record. NCBI's taxonomy places the organism in Eukaryota, Metazoa, Chordata, Mammalia, Rodentia, Cricetidae. The transcript is spliced from 3 exons.